RNAcentral lists this transfer RNA (73 nucleotides) under Buchnera aphidicola (Nipponaphis monzeni). It matches the Rfam family "tRNA". From Rfam's summary of the family: Transfer RNA (tRNA) molecules are approximately 80 nucleotides in length. Their secondary structure includes four short double-helical elements and three loops (D, anti-codon, and T loops). Further hydrogen bonds mediate the characteristic L-shaped molecular structure. tRNAs have two regions of fundamental functional importance: the anti-codon, which is responsible for specific mRNA codon recognition, and the 3' end, to which the tRNAs corresponding amino acid is attached (by aminoacyl-tRNA synthetases). tRNAs cope with the degeneracy of the genetic code in two manners: having more than one tRNA (with a specific anti-codon) for a particular amino acid; and 'wobble' base-pairing, i.e. permitting non-standard base-pairing at the 3rd anti-codon position. Lineage: Bacteria; Pseudomonadati; Pseudomonadota; Gammaproteobacteria; Enterobacterales; Erwiniaceae. The record is from Rfam by way of RNAcentral.
GCGGGAAUAGCUCAGUUGGUAGAGUGCAACCUUGCCAAGGUUGAGGUCGCGAGUUCAAGUCUCGUUUCCCGCU